RNAcentral lists this transfer RNA (77 nucleotides) under Hwanghaeella grinnelliae. RNAcentral describes it as "tRNA-Pro". It matches the Rfam family "tRNA". Rfam says of the family: Transfer RNA (tRNA) molecules are approximately 80 nucleotides in length. Their secondary structure includes four short double-helical elements and three loops (D, anti-codon, and T loops). Lineage: Bacteria; Pseudomonadati; Pseudomonadota; Alphaproteobacteria; Rhodospirillales; Aestuariispiraceae. The record is from RNAcentral.
CGGAGUGUAGCUCAGCCUGGUAGAGCACUGUCUUCGGGAGGCAGGGGCCGCAAGUUCAAAUCUUGCCACUCCGACCA